This is a long non-coding RNA of Uloborus diversus, 622 nucleotides long. RefSeq lists it as uncharacterized. The record is from RefSeq and is a predicted model, not a curated record. NCBI's taxonomy places the organism in Eukaryota, Metazoa, Arthropoda, Arachnida, Araneae, Uloboridae. The transcript has 3 exons.
AUGAAGCACCGUUCACUGCUUAUCGUUUAGUUUUCCUUUACAAUCCCAUUUCCAUCGAAUACCGUUGUUCCAGUUCCUUAUAGCCCGACCAUGCAACUGUUGAUCGUUUUCGUCUCCGUCAUCGCAGUGACCUGCGGUCAGUUCCUCAACCCAUUCGGAUUUGGGCCAUUUGGAUUCGGUGGUUUCCCCAUCCCUGUUAAGGUCCCCGUGCCAGUUCAAGUACCUGUACAAGUGCCAGUCCCUGUCCCAGCUCUCGGGGGAUCUGAUGAAUAUGCUGCUUCUCUGGGAGGGGCCCCAGUCGGGCUCUACAGCAAGACCAGAGGAGGCCCCGGACUCGGAAUCGGCGGAGGACUAGGAGGCUCUGACGUCAGCAGUGCCUCCCUAGCCGGUGCAAAGGUUGGUGUCUAUGGAAAGGAAAGGCCAUCCGCUGGAGCCGUGCCAUUGCCUGUGCCACUUGCAGUUCCAUACGGUCGUCCAGCAGGCAGACCAAGGCCCUCAAGAUACUAGACAUGGAUGAACUCUGUAAUUUAAACAAGAGCAUGAGUGAGAAGUGGCAAAGAAUGAAACUAUGGAUGUGCGUAACUGUAAAUUAUUGCUGAAACAAAUAAAUGCCUGCUUGAUA